RNAcentral lists this ribosomal RNA (497 nucleotides) under uncultured bacterium. RNAcentral's name for it is "partial 16S ribosomal RNA". It matches the Rfam family "Bacterial small subunit ribosomal RNA", at positions 28 to 507 of the family's 1533-position model. The record is from RNAcentral.
GAUGAACGCUGGCGGCGUGCCUAAUACAUGCAAGUCGAGCGAACAGACGAGGAGCUUGCUCCUCUGACGUUAGCGGCGGACGGGUGAGUAACACGUGGAUAACCUACCUAUAAGACUGGGAUAACUUCGGGAAACCGGAGCUAAUACCGGAUAAUAUAUUGAACCGCAUGGUUCAAUAGUGAAAGACGGUUUUGCUGUCACUUAUAGAUGGAUCCGCGCCGCAUUAGCUAGUUGGUAAGGUAACGGCUUACCAAGGCAACGAUGCGUAGCCGACCUGAGAGGGUGAUCGGCCACACUGGAACUGAGACACGGUCCAGACUCCUACGGGAGGCAGCAGUAGGGAAUCUUCCGCAAUGGGCGAAAGCCUGACGGAGCAACGCCGCGUGAGUGAUAAAGGUCUUCGGAUCGUAAAACUCUGUUAUUAGGGAAGAACAAAUGUGUAAGUAACUAUGCACGUCUUGACGGUACCUAAUCAGAAAGCCACGGCUAACUACGUG